This is a non-coding RNA of Oryctolagus cuniculus (rabbit), 692 nucleotides long. Lineage: Eukaryota; Metazoa; Chordata; Mammalia; Lagomorpha; Leporidae. The record is from RefSeq and is a predicted model, not a curated record.
CCCCAGCUCACUGCCUGGUCUGACGUCACAGGUCCCUGGGCAGGGCCCCAGCUCACUGCCUGGUCUGACGUCACAGGUGCCUGGGCGGGGCCCCAGCUCACUGCCUGGUCUGACGUCACAGGUCCCUGGGCAGGGCCCCAGCUCACUGCCUGGUCUGACGUCACAGGUGCCUGGGCAGGGCCCAGCUCACUGCCUGGUCUGGUGUCACAGGUGCCUGGGCGGGGGCCCAGCUCACUGCCUAGUCUGGCGUCACAGGUCCCUGGGCAGGGCCCCAGCUCACUGCCUGGUCUGACCUCACAGGUCCCUGGGCGGGGCCCCAGCUCACUGCCUGGUCUGGCGUCACAGGUCCCUGGGCAGGGCCCAGCUCACUGCCUGGUCUGACCUCACAGGUCCCUGGGCAGGGCCCAGCUCACUGCCUGGUCUGACCUCACAGGUCCCUGGGCAGGGCCCAGCUCACUGCCUGGUCUGACGUCACAGGUCCCUGGGCAGGGCCCAGCUCACUGCCUGGUCUGACGUCACAGGUGCCUGGGCAGGGCCCAGCUCACUGCCUGGUCUGGUGUCACAGGUCCCUGGGCCAGACCCCAGCUCACUGCCUGGUCUGACAUCACAGGUCCCUGGGCGGGGCCCCAGCUCACUGCCUGGUCUGGUGUCACAGGUCCCUGGGCAGGGCCCAGCUCACUGCCUGGUCUGAC